RNAcentral lists this non-coding RNA (26 nucleotides) under Homo sapiens (human). The record is from RNAcentral. Lineage: Eukaryota; Metazoa; Chordata; Mammalia; Primates; Hominidae.
UUCAGUAGGCCAUGCAUCUUGUCUCU